AUUCCGGAGAGGGAGCCUGAGAAACAGCUACUACUUCUACGGAAGGCAGCAGGCGCGCAAAUUGUCCAAUUCCCAUACAUUGGGGAGACAGUGAAAAGAAAUAUCAAUGCAGGGCAUAUGCUUUGCAAUUGGAAUGAGUUUAACCCAAAUGCCUUUACGAGAAUCAAUUGGAGGGCAAGUCUGGUGCCAGCAGCCGCGGUAAUUCCAGCUCCAAUAGCGUAUAUUAAAGUUGUUGCAGUUAAAACGCUCGUAGUUGAAACUUUGGUUGUAACAAUGGGUUUGCUUUCUAAGUAAUACCUAUUGUUGUUACCAUUAUUCCGGUUAUGCAGGGAUGAGAAUCCUUGUAUAUUUGGAAGUGUUACUUUGAGAAAAUUAGAGUGUUUCAAGCAGGCGUGAUGCUU
RNAcentral lists this ribosomal RNA (401 nucleotides) under uncultured alveolate. Its description in RNAcentral is "bacterial SSU rRNA". It matches the Rfam family "Eukaryotic small subunit ribosomal RNA", at positions 380 to 796 of the family's 1831-position model. The record is from RNAcentral.